CAUUGGCACAUUCUGGGAUUGAGAGGGAAGGAAACUCAGAUAAAACAAAGAGCAUGUGUUCCACAUGUUAAUCGUUUUCCACAUGCUUAGACUAAUUAAAAAAGUCCACCAUUGAUUUCUCCCUCUCCACCGUGUCGGAGCUCACCACCGGCGGCAAUGGAGCAUCAAACAUCAAAACUACCUAUGCCAUUCCACUCUAAUUCUCAAGCUCUACUCGAAUCAAACACUGAAUUCUACUAAAACCUCAAGAAUUCCCCAAAUCGAGCAGAGACUAUUAUGAACCCUAACAUCAAGAAAUUAAAUUAAAUGCUUCUAUAGAGGAAUCAAAGCCCCUGAUGUUAGGGCUUUGAUUUCUUGUCCCCUAAGCUACAUAGUGGUAACAAGGAUAAAGCCAAACAGUGAAGAAACGUCACUUACUUUCCGGAGACGAAGACUUGAGAUUAGAGGAAAUGAAGAUGUUUGAACCAGCUUCAGUUGUAGGUUUGAGCUAUUUUGGCAUUGCAGUGCAAACAUGGUGAUGCUGAUGCAAGGCAUGGCUAACAGAAUUUGCAGUGUAGGUUGUGUCAAGAUACAUUGUAUUGCUGAUGUGAUGAUGAUUUGUAUUGCCAUGCUAUUAUUUUGUGAUGCCCCUGGCUUGGUCGGCUACAUGAUGAAUGUUAUAGCUUUACCAUUGUAUGCUUUGAAUGAUGUUAUAUUAUGCUACUUGUGAUGUUGAUGUCAGGCCUGUUAUGAUUGUGUGUCAAAUGUUAUUUGAUGUAAAUUGUAUCCUGCUUGUAUCAUGAUAAAUUGUAUUGCCAGUUUGCUUAUGUUAUGAAAUGAGGUUAAAUUAGGUCAAUUAGGUGGUAGCUAGGGCUUGUGAAAAAGAAUGCAGACUAAUUUUGUGCAUAGGUUCAUGUUACCAUGUUGAUGUUGGUUGGUACCAUCUUACUGAAGUGAGUGUAUGCCUGCCCAAAUGAACCCUGCAUUGCUUGAUUUGCAUCAUGCUUGUUACUUGUUUUCGUUAACAUGCUCAAUGUUUUCCUGGUGCUUAGACCAUCUAUGCAUGUUUGUAUGAAAUGCAUUGUAUGCUUGACAAAUGCAUGUGUGUAGGCUAAUUGAUGCAGGGAUGGCUUGGCAAUUGGACAUGGUUUCAAGGCAUGGCAAAGUUUCAGCGCAUGUGAGUAAACUUGGUGCAAAUUGGCUUUCUUGUUCAUGAAGCAAAUGAUCAUGGAAUCACAUGGAAGAAUGAAGAUGCCAUAGGCACUGGGGUUUAAGGGAUGGACAAAUAGGUUAGUUGAGUUUGGUCAACUGGUUGACCAAAAAGUCAACAGUUGACCAAAAAGUCAACAGUUGACCAAAAGUCAAUUUCUUACAAUGUAGUAGACAAUGUAUUUUCUUUUGGUCAACUGGUUUAAGGGAUGUAUUUUCUUUUGUAGUAGACAAUGUAAAUGUUGUAUGAAUGAAUGGAUGGGCCUUCAUUUGAGUAGAAA
This is a long non-coding RNA of Lathyrus oleraceus (garden pea), 1469 nucleotides long. RefSeq lists it as uncharacterized. The transcript is spliced from 2 exons. NCBI's taxonomy places the organism in Eukaryota, Viridiplantae, Streptophyta, Magnoliopsida, Fabales, Fabaceae. The record is from RefSeq and is a predicted model, not a curated record.